CCUACGGGUGACAGCAGUGAGGAAUAUUGGUCAAUGGACGAGAGUCUGAACCAGCCAAGUAGCGUGAAGGAUGACUGCCCUAUGGGUUGUAAACUUCUUUUAUAUGGGAAUAAAAUGUUCCACGUGUGGGAUUUUGUAUGUACCAUAUGAAUAAGGAUCGGCUAACUCCGUGCCAGCAGCCGCGGUAAUACGGAGGAUCCGAGCGUUAUCAGGAUUUAUUGGGUUUAAAGGGAGCGUAGGUGGAUUGUUAAGUCAGUUGUGAAAGUUUGCGGCUCAAACGUAAAAUUGCAGUUGAAACUGGCAGUCUUGAGUACAGUAGAGGUGGGCGGAAUUCGUGGUGUAGCGGUGAAAUGCUUAGAUAUCACGAAGAACUCCGAUUGCGAAGGCAGUUCACUGGACUGCAACUGACACUGAGGCUCGAAAGUGUGGGUAUCAAACAGGAUUAGAUACCCUUGUAGUC
This 460-nucleotide ribosomal RNA is filed under the name uncultured bacterium. Its description in RNAcentral is "partial 16S ribosomal RNA". It matches the Rfam family "Bacterial small subunit ribosomal RNA", at positions 338 to 795 of the family's 1533-position model. The record is from RNAcentral.